This 36-nucleotide non-coding RNA is filed under the name Trypanosoma brucei brucei. The record is from RNAcentral. Lineage: Eukaryota; Euglenozoa; Kinetoplastea; Trypanosomatida; Trypanosomatidae.
UACCAAACAAUAGACGAGUAGAUUCUAAUAGAUGAU